CCAACCGUGAACUUCAAACGCUCAAUCUUAAUUUACUGCUUUCGCGAAACACGACUAGAGUAAAUUUGUUUUCUCAAAUCAUUGCCGUUAAAUACCACAAGUUUAAUAAUUGUUUAAUAUAUUUCAAAACUGGUGUAAAAGCUGUUAUAAUAGAGUUGUAAAAUCAAAAUCUUCGUUAGCGGUUUGACGUUUGCCGUAAACGUCAAUCUAAAACUGUCUAUUAUUUGUGCAUUGUAGCAUCACUUCGCUGCCCAAAUCCUGGUGGAGUUUAAUUUUUUAUUUUAUUUUUAACUUCACCUGCUCUCUCCCCUUUUAGAGUUAUGGCUCUCGUAUUCGAGUACCAUCGUAUCGCUACUUCACCGUUUUCAAAAAGUUUACAGUUACCUCCUCGUGUUGACCAACUGUAGUUGUAGAUCAUCAAGAAAUUGACAGAGUUCAUUGUAGUCGCCUUGUCAUUUUAAAUUUCCCUUAGGCUUCUUCGCGGCCAAAAC
This is a non-coding RNA of Paramuricea clavata, 491 nucleotides long. NCBI's taxonomy places the organism in Eukaryota, Metazoa, Cnidaria, Anthozoa, Malacalcyonacea, Plexauridae. The record is from the annotation of a GenBank genome assembly.